GCUAAGGCUCCUCCCCGACGAACCCCAUUCCUGCUUUCCCGCUCAAAUGUUGCAUUUUCUAAGACCUCCCUGGCCCGCCAUACGCCGAUCCUGAACCUACGAAAACCCAAGACUGCGGGCACGGUGGCUCAUGCCUGUAAUCCCAGCACUUUGGGAGGCCGAGGCGGGCAGAUCACGAGGUCAAGAAGUCGAGACCAGCCUUGCUAACAUGGCGAAACCCUGACUCUACUGAAAAUACAAAAAUUAGCUGGGCGUGAUGGCGUGCGCGCCUGUAGUCCCAGCUGCUCGGGAGGCUGAGGUAGGAGAAUCGCUUCAAUCCGGGAGGUGGAGGUUGCGGUAAGCAGAGAUUGCGCCACUGCACUCUAGCCUGGCGACAGAGACUCCUUCAAAAACAACAACAACAACAACAACAACAACAAAACAAAACCUCCCAAGACCCUAGUGGGCAGACACACAGCCAGCCAGACAUGGAGAGGAGCACAUUAGCAGAAGAAGACGCAAGUGGCUGGUCCUCGAGAGGACGUUGAGAGGAGCAUGCCAGCAGAAGAGCACACAACGACAGGCACCGACACACCACCGGCAGGCCAUGCACCAGCAGAAUGAUGCGGAGUUUGACGGGGCAGUCAGAGAAGAGCCUGGGCCGCCAAGGGGCCCGACUCCAGGGGAAAACCAUCUCCCUUCUGGCUCCCCCAUCUGCUGAGAGCUACUUCUACUCAAUAAAACCUUGCACUCAUUCUCCAAGCCCACGUGUAAUCCGAUUCUUCAGGUAAGCCAGGGCAAGAAACCCCAGGAUACAGAAAUCCUUCUGUCCUUGUGAUAAGAAAGGGGGUGUAAUUGAGCUAACACAAACCGCCUAUAGAUGGCAACCUAAAAGAGCAUCCUGUAACACACGCCCGCCCACUGGGGCUUCAGGAGCUGUAAAUAUUCACCCCUAGACACUGCUGUGCGAUCGGAGCCCCACAGCCUGCCCGCCUGUAUGCUCCCCUAGAGGUCUGAGCAGCAGGGCACUGAAGAAUCGAGCCACACCUCAUCACACACCCUGCGAGGGGGACAAGGGAGCUUUUCCCAUAUCAAGUAGAUUGCCCUGGUGCUGCAGAAGCAGGAAAAACAGGACCUGCCCAUACCCAAGAGCCCGGCAACUCUGGCUAGAGUGAGGCCUGAAAUUGUGUCCGGAAUUGGUGGGUUCUUGGUCUCACUGGCUUCCUCUCAAAAUCACGCUCAAGAGACGCCACAGUUAGAGUUUCCUAGGCUGUGUCCUUUGCCUGGAAUGCUCUCUCUUGCUGGCUGGCUUCUUCCCACCAGCUGUGGCCAGGGCUGCUCCUUAUUCCUUCGUCAAAACUCCGUCUGCUGGGUGUGGUGCCUCACACCUGUAAUCCCAGCACUUUGAGAGGCCAAGGUGGGAGUAUCGUUUGAGCCCAGGAGUUCAAGACAAGCCUGGACAACAGAGCAAGACCCUGUCUCUACCAAAGAAAAGAAAAGAAAAGAAAAGAAACAGCCACUUUCUCUUCCAUGAGCCAGUUUAUGUUUUCUUCACGGCAUUUGUUACAAAUGUAAGUUAAAAGUCCUAAAUACAUAUUUGUUCAAUGAAUGUCGAAGUGCUCUGACCUUAUAUUCAAUUUUCCUAUCCAAGGCAAAAACCAUUAUGGGAAAAAUAGUAGAAAAUUGGCUACUUAAAAGUUAACCACACUUAAGAAAGUCUAGCAUGCAAGGUAGUGAUUAUCCUGGAGCAUUCAAAAGGCAUUUGGGUCUCAUUUACGAGGGGUUUUCUGCAGACCUCAGUUUCUUAAAUUUUAGUCAAUAUAUUUUUAAAGUAGGCAUAAUUUAUCACACGCUUUUGCAGCUUUACUCUUUAUAACUCUAAGAAACUGUAGAAAAUGUUUUCUUUCCCUGUCUCCUACAUGUUUGAAGAUGAAAUUGAAAAUUCAGCCAAUAAAACUGUGCUAAAAAGUUUGACACUAAGAAAAAGAAAGGCCCCUCUCCUGGUGAGUUUCACUGUGAGAUGGCUGGAAAUGUUGAUUGGUGGAUCUGUGUUUGUUCGUUAGUUUGGGGCCUGGACACUGAGAGUUAAGUCCACUUAGAGAUGUCAGGGAACCCAUACUUUUGGUUAAAAGCCAAAAGGGAAUGUGGGGAGGGAGUUACGGACUGAAAUAGGCGGUAGGGUUUUCUCCCUGUGUGUCCCCCUUUCUCUGUCCCUUGUUUGGUUUAUGCAUAGAUUUUUGUUGUGUAUCCUUCAAUCCCUUCCACAUUACCCUUCUCUCUUUCACCCUUAAACUGAGAUUUAGAACUAAAAUGAGAGUUUACGAAGGUACUGGCUAUAAUUAUUUUAUUUACUAUUUAUUAAUUUUUUUGAGACAGGAUUUCUCUCUGUUGCCCAGGCUGGAGUACAGUGGUGCAAUCAUGGCUCACUGCAACUUUGAGCUCCCAGGCUCAUGCAAUUCUGCCACCUGUGCCUCCUGAGUAGCUGGGACGACAGGCACAUGCCACCAUGCCCAGCUAAUCUUUUUACUUUUUGUAGAAAUAGGGUCUCACUAUGUUGCCUAGGCCGGCCUUGGACUCCUGGGCUCAAGCAAUUCUCAUGCCUCAACCUCCCAAAGUGCUAGGAUUACAGGUGUGAACCACCGCGCCUGGCCUAUAAUUAUGAAAAAAAACCCCACUAUUUUCUGAUAUGAUUUUUAAUUUAUUCCUCUAAUAUAAUAUUCUAUUACUCAGGUUUACUUUAGACAAAAACUACCUCCUUUGCUUACUAUUUUUAAAUGGUUAUUGAAGGAGUCAAUAGCCUGCAAAUAUGUGCAUUUCUUUGACCCAGAAACUUUGCUUCUAGGAAUUUGUAUUAAGGAAAUAAUUCAACCAGUAGGUAAAGAACUUGUAUAAGCCUGUUUAUUCUAGACCUGUUCCAUCUUAUUGAAAAAUUCAUACACAACCUAAAUGUCCAACAAUAAUGUUGAUUAAAUAAAUGUAAGUAUAUCCAUACAAUUAAAUGUUAUACAGCUAUUAAAAUUAAUGAUGUCAGCAGGGCACAGUGGCUCACGCCUGUAAUCCUAGCACUGCCGAGGCGGGCAGAUCAGUUGAGGUCAGGAGUUUGAGACCAGCCUGGCCAACAUGAUGAUGUUGGCUGGGCGCAGUGGCUCACGCCUGUAAUUCCAGCACUGCUGAGGCGGGCAGAUCACUUGAGGUCAGGAGUUUGAGACCAGCCUGGCCAACAUGGCGAAACCCCGUCUCUACUAAAAAUACAAAAAUUAGCCAGGCAUGAUAGCACAUGCUCGUAAUCCCAGCUACUCAGGAGGCUGAGGCAAGAGAAUUGCUUGAACCCGGGGGGCAGAGGUUGCAAUGAGCCAAGAUCACGCCACUGCACUCCAGCCUGGGUG
Molecule: long non-coding RNA, 3365 nt
Filed under: Homo sapiens (human)
Lineage: Eukaryota; Metazoa; Chordata; Mammalia; Primates; Hominidae
Description: PREDICTED lncRNA (TCONS_00251178)
Source: RNAcentral